Molecule: ribosomal RNA, 442 nt
Filed under: uncultured bacterium
Lineage: Bacteria
Description: partial 16S ribosomal RNA
Rfam family: Bacterial small subunit ribosomal RNA
Source: RNAcentral
CCUACGGGGUGCAGCAGUGGGGAAUAUUGGGCAAUGGGCGCAAGCCUGACCCAGCAACGCCGCGUGAAGGAAGAAGGCUUUCGGGUUGUAACCUUCUUUUGUCAGGGAAGAGUAGAAGACGGUACCUGACGAAUAAGCCACGGCUAACUAAGUGCCAGCAGCCGCGGUAAUACGUAGGUGGCAAGCGUUGUCCGGAUUUACUGGGUGUAAAGGGCGUGUAGCCGGGUUGACAAGUCAGUUGUGAAAUCCUGCGGCUUAACCGCAGAACUGCAUUUGACACUGUUGAUCUUGAGUAUUGGAGAGGCAGACGGAAUUCCUAGUGUAGCGGUGAAAUGCGUAGAUAUUAGGAGGAACACCAGUGGCGAAGGCGGUCUGCUGGACAGCAACUGACGGUGAGGCGCGAAAGCGUGGGGAGCAAACAGGAGUAGAUACCCGGGUAGUC